AGGUGCGAUCAUAACAGCACUAAUGCACCGGAUCCCUUCAGAACUCUGCAGUGAAGCGUGCUUGGGCGAGAGUAGUACUAGGAUGGGUGACCUCCUCGGAAGUCCUCGUGUUGCACCUCUUUUUUUCACGGGAGUUAGCAUUAACGGACUCG
Non-coding RNA from Lupinus albus (white lupine), 152 nucleotides. The record is from the annotation of a GenBank genome assembly. Lineage: Eukaryota; Viridiplantae; Streptophyta; Magnoliopsida; Fabales; Fabaceae.